ACCUGGGUGGCUCAGUUGGUUGAGCGUCUGACUUUGGCUCAGGUCACAAUCUCGCGGUUUGUGGGUUCAAGCCCCGUGUCGGGCU
Molecule: transfer RNA, 85 nt
Filed under: Felis catus (domestic cat)
Lineage: Eukaryota; Metazoa; Chordata; Mammalia; Carnivora; Felidae
Rfam family: tRNA
About the family: Transfer RNA (tRNA) molecules are approximately 80 nucleotides in length. Their secondary structure includes four short double-helical elements and three loops (D, anti-codon, and T loops).
Source: Rfam by way of RNAcentral